UCACGCUCGCUCUCCCAAGAGCCCCACGAUGACGCUGACUUCAGAUCCGCUGACGACAAUCUCCAGCACCUUCAAAUCCGCCAAUGAAAAAUCUAGGGAUGAAGAAUAUGACCGGGGAAAGAGGAAAUAGGUGAGGCAAGCUAAGAUUGAUUUUGGUGGCCCAAAUAUUUCUAGAAAAUCGCAUCAGAGAAAAUAAAUCUGAAGAAGACAAAACUUGAUAAGGCUAGCUCUGGGAGUUUGCCAUUCAGGAUAUAAAGUGAAUAUGUGGUAGGCUUCAAGCAAAGUAUGUUGAUUUUGAUCGUCCGAUUGAUAAAGCAGCAUUACUUGAUUGUUGCCCACCAUCAUAUGAGGAGUCUGCCCUACUUCUGGCAUUUAGGUACAAGGCUUUGUGAGAUUGGCUACUUUUAUGACCAUUUCUCUGUUUCCUUUGAGAUUUUGUUUGUUCCCUCAAGAGGCGUCAUGGUGGAUCAAGCAUUGGGGCAUAUUUUUUUCAGUUCUGGCUUUUAUUGCCUGUGUUAUGUAUUUAGUUGUGUGUUUGUGUAUCAGCUAGUUAAUGUAAUAAAACCUUUGAAGGGAAGAUUCUUUGAACAACUGACAAUGUUGUAGCUCAGUAUUGUGGAGGGCAUUGUUAAAUUAUUAGAUUAUUUUCUUUGAUGAUAUC
This is a long non-coding RNA of Eucalyptus grandis, 661 nucleotides long. RefSeq lists it as uncharacterized. The record is from RefSeq and is a predicted model, not a curated record. Lineage: Eukaryota; Viridiplantae; Streptophyta; Magnoliopsida; Myrtales; Myrtaceae. The transcript is spliced from 2 exons.